RNAcentral lists this long non-coding RNA (3406 nucleotides) under Mus musculus (house mouse). RNAcentral describes it as "predicted gene 9831 (Gm9831)". The record is from RNAcentral. Lineage: Eukaryota; Metazoa; Chordata; Mammalia; Rodentia; Muridae.
AGAGGAUAAAAACCAGAAUCUAGAGAGAGCCAGCUAUGAAGUUAGGGGUACCGGACACAUGCAAAUAGAAACAAUAGAUAGCCAAACAGUGGGACCUGAUCUAUGUGGGAUGAGUUCUGGAAAGGGCAAAGCCAUGGUCCUAGGAUGAUGAGAGGAGGCAAGAUCCUGAGGGCAGGACUUCCACAACUCAGAAAGCAACUAUGAACUCCCAAAGACCUGGAGUCCAAGUUGUAUGUCCAGCUGUAAGUGCUUAUUUGAUGGUGGAGAAAAUGAAAUGGCUUCUAGCUGUCCCAGACAGAACUAAGGUGCCUUGCAACUUCCAAGAUAGCUUGGCAGGGUUGAGUGAACACCAGACUAGCUGGGAUGACCUCACUCAUGAUUACUACCAGACAUCUACACAUCAGAGGCUUCAAAGCAUUGUUGGGAAGAGAAAAAAUCUUAACCCUAGCAUUUAUACUUCCGCCGUAGCUCCCCAUCCACUUCGGAGGGGCCAUAGUGAGUGCUCAUAUUUAAGAAGCACGGUGACUAAGGACCGUAGACGUUCCUUUCCAUCGGCCCCACAUGCAACUAGCCUAGAUAAGUAUUCUCAGUCACAGACGUUCAUGGAGUGCCACAAGUCAGAAGUGGGGCCAACCCAGAAGCUGUGUAAAAAUGUGAAAGAAACUCAGGUAGCCCUGGAGCAGCUGGAGGACACUAGGCAGCUUCAGGAACCAAAGUUACUGGCUCAGGCUGAAACAUCCUUCCUAGGAUGCCUGAUAAAAAACCAUAACCGACAUAAGAAGCCAAGGAAGGGCUGUGUAGCCUCAGGAUACAUGAAGCAAAUGGGAGACCUUCAGUUCCUGGACAAAAUGGACCACAUCGACCCCGAAUAUUCUCUGCAGACACUGAUUGGGCAAAUGGAGUUAAAUGAACCUGAAGUUCUGCCGAGGGUGCCGAUGGAAGAGACAAAGCCAAAAUCAGCCCUGGAGAAGACCCAGGCCUGGGAGUUGUCAGUAGCAAAGGAGAGUGAGUCUAAGUUCAACCCUGCCAUCAACAAAGAGAACCAGAAGUUAUGGAAGAAAUUAGAACGACUUGCUCAAGAUUAUUACAGAGUGGAAGGGACAAGGAAGCAGAUGCUGAGGCAAAAGCAAGAGCUGAAGGACCAACGCUGGGACUCGGUGAUCCGCGGAACAUCAGUAAGGCUGGCAUGGCGGGAGCAUAAGCAACGAUGCCCCAAAGAACGGGAAAAGCUCAAGAGCUCAGUGAGCAGUCCCCAGCACCCUAUAAGAAUAAUUCUGAAUCAAUCCCCACAACACCAGAUGCAGUAAGAAUAACAGAAGAAAUCCAUUUAGACCCGAGUGAGCAAAACACUUUACAGCUGCCUACUGGGAACUGUGCAGCAGGCAACGAUGGGCUGGAAAACCUUGACUGGAGAAAUGGGAGCCCAUCUCUUUGAAGACAGACCUGAAAAAGACUCGGCUUUGUUGCUUCUAUCUCAAGGGCACCGCGACACUGAACUCAAGGUCUCAGAAUACCUGAGAAUGGCCUGUUAAGGUCACAUUUUGGUCUGGUUCAGAAGGAACUGGAUACCCAGUGAACUCUGGAACAGUCUCAGGUAUAACCAGCCUCAUUAUUGUGUCACUGUUCCUAAAACUGUGCAAAGGGUGUCUGAGUCACCAGGAAAAAGCCAGGGCUUUGGUGGGCUGCCCUAGGCUGGAGGGGCAGUCAGAAGCAGGAGACCUUGGGUCCUGUGGGUGUUGAAAUGUUCAUGAGACAUCAGUGAGGGGUAAAGAUGCUACAAGGCAAAUGACAAAGAUUAUGGCCCAAACAUAAAGGACACAUGCUGGCUCAGUCUGCUGAUUCAUCAGUGACUCAGCAUCUGUAAGCUGGCUGCACAGCCCAACUGUAUUUUGGAAAAGGGCAGUGAGAUAAAUUUCCAAAAAAGUCUCUGUGUUCUCUUCUGCCAUCAGCGACAGAAAGAACAAUCACCAGCAAUAACAGUUACACAGAGGCCAAACUUUCAUAUUAAUUAAAAGCCGUGUAAGAUAUAGCUCGGCCAAUUUUUCAAGCCAAAGACAAUGUGGUGCCUGACUAGCAGAUCAAAGUUCACAUCCUGGUUCUGCCAUGUGCAACAUAUGCAAUAUGGGAGGUCACAUUAUCUUUUUACUACACCUUGAGAAAGCUAGCUCUGUAUCAAUGCAGGAACGCAUGCUGGUUUCCAGGACAUAGUCGAUGUUCAAGAAAGGACAAGAGCCACCGUCGCAAGAAUAACAAAAUGUUCUUGCUGUGGAUUUCUUUCUACUGUGAUUGCUGAAAUCAAGGUGUUAGAUGUAAGCCUCCUUCCUGUUCUGGAAAGUGACUAAUUCUGUGAAGAAUGCCCAGGAAGGAAGAAAAGAUUCUUCGGGGAUAUUACAACAAAUCCAUGGUAUUUCGAUGCUAACACCCUUGAGACAAGGAGAGACAAAGGCAGAACAAAUGCACGGCCUAACAUGACCUGUUCCAGCAAAGGAGAGGGAGGAAGUCUGAGAGAACUAACUGAAAAUCUACCUGCCUGUGGGUGGCUGCAGCCCCAAGGCUGAGAGCAUCUCCUUACCACAUCAGCAGCAGUUAAGCAGCAGCAGUAGACUGGCCAGCUGUGUGGCUUCCCAGGAUGGGCAAGCAAGAAAUCAUCCUGGUAACGGAACUUCUCUGGUCCACAUGCAAUAAAAAUGUCAUCGUCACCAAAAAAGUCCUGAAGGCACAUCACCUACAAGAGAAAAGCAUAGUUCUCAGCCAGGGGUCCACACAACAGCGAUCACAACACCACCUCCCCCCCCCCGCCAGACUUCUCCAUAAAGCCAUUUUCCUCUAAUGGAAUCAACAGGGGGAUUUCAAAGGCUCGGCUGUGCAUCUGUUAUCCAGUAAGGAACGAGUUAGUCUCAGGUCUGCAGGAAGGCAGAGAAGGCGACUGGGUGGGUAACUGUCACAUUUAUGACUGGAAACAUCAACAGGCUAUGAGGAUUCCAAGAAUAUGAAAAGAACACAGUGGUUGCUAAAGAAAUUGUCUGUCAUCGCACAGCAGAGAAGACAAGGGAAGGAGUCAUUCCAAUGUCAAGUAACAUGUACUCAUUUACCACUCAAGCUUCGAUGGAUGGAAUCAGUGGAAACCCUGAACUGUCUGACACUCCAGGGGUUUCUGCUGUGCAUCGUUUUGCCUCUUUGCUGCCCACAACAGCCCACUGGAAAAUGGCACUCAGAAAUCACCACUGGUUUAUAGUCAUUGCCUUAAGGUUUGUCUUUCGGAGCUGGUAUUCCAGAUGCCUCACAUCUGUCUCCAACUCGACCUACCAGGUCUCCAGUCGACCCAGUGUCUAUGAGUGAUAAACAGUGAUGUCUGGACAGACAUUAUACUCUAAAAUAAAUGUUUCCACUGGUUUUUAUUCUCUGA